RNAcentral lists this ribosomal RNA (502 nucleotides) under Staphylococcus aureus. RNAcentral's name for it is "bacterial LSU rRNA". It matches the Rfam family "Bacterial large subunit ribosomal RNA", at positions 1976 to 2477 of the family's 2925-position model. Lineage: Bacteria; Bacillati; Bacillota; Bacilli; Caryophanales; Staphylococcaceae. The record is from RNAcentral.
GUAAGUUCCGACCCGCACGAAAGGCGUAACGAUUUGGGCACUGUCUCAACGAGAGACUCGGUGAAAUCAUAGUACCUGUGAAGAUGCAGGUUACCCGCGACAGGACGGAAAGACCCCGUGGAGCUUUACUGUAGCCUGAUAUUGAAAUUCGGCACAGCUUGUACAGGAUAGGUAGGAGCCUUUGAAACGUGAGCGCUAGCUUACGUGGAGGCGCUGGUGGGAUACUACCCUAGCUGUGUUGGCUUUCUAACCCGCACCACUUAUCGUGGUGGGAGACAGUGUCAGGCGGGCAGUUUGACUGGGGCGGUCGCCUCCUAAAAGGUAACGGAGGCGCUCAAAGGUUCCCUCAGAAUGGUUGGAAAUCAUUCAUAGAGUGUAAAGGCAUAAGGGAGCUUGACUGCGAGACCUACAAGUCGAGCAGGGUCGAAAGACGGACUUAGUGAUCCGGUGGUUCCGCAUGGAAGGGCCAUCGCUCAACGGAUAAAAGCUACCCCGGGGAUAA